This 253-nucleotide ribosomal RNA is filed under the name uncultured bacterium. RNAcentral's name for it is "partial 16S ribosomal RNA". It matches the Rfam family "Bacterial small subunit ribosomal RNA", at positions 524 to 776 of the family's 1533-position model. The record is from RNAcentral.
UACGUAGGGUGCGAGCGUUGUCCGGAAUUAUUGGGCGUAAAGCGCGCGUAGGCGGACCUGCAAGUCGGGGGUGAAAGCCCGAGGCUCAACCUCGGAACUGCCUUCGAUACUGCGGGUCUCGAGUCCGGGAGAGGUGAGUGGAACUGCGAGUGUAGAGGUGAAAUUCGUAGAUAUUCGCAAGAACACCAGUGGCGAAGGCGGCUCACUGGCCCGGUACUGACGCUGAGGUGCGAAAGCGUGGGGAGCAAACAGG